CAGCCGCCGCGGUAAUACCAGCCCCCUGAGUGAUAGGGACGAUUAUUUAGCCUAAAGCGUUCGUAGCCGGUCAAGUAAGUCUUUCGUUAAAUCUGACGGCUUAAUCGUCAGACCGCGGAAGAUACUGCUAGACUUGAGGGCGGGAGAGGUUGACGGUAUUCCUGGGGUAGGGGUGAAAUCCUAUAAUCCUAGGAGGACCACCAGUGGCGAAGGCGGUCAACCAGAACGCGCCUGACGGUGAUGGACGAAAGCUGGGGGAGCGAACCGGAUUAGACACCCGGGUAGUCCCAGCUGUAAACGAUGCUAGCUAGGUGUUGGGUCGGCCACGCGCCGCCCCAGUGCCGCAGGGAAGCCGUUAAGCUAGCCGCCUGGGGAGAACGGCCGCAAGGCUGAAACUUAAAGGAAUUGGCGGGGGAGCAC
RNAcentral lists this ribosomal RNA (420 nucleotides) under uncultured crenarchaeote. Its description in RNAcentral is "bacterial SSU rRNA". It matches the Rfam family "Archaeal small subunit ribosomal RNA", at positions 459 to 879 of the family's 1478-position model. Lineage: Archaea; Thermoproteati; Thermoproteota. The record is from RNAcentral.